UGAUUAACAUUCAAUUCCAGAAGAAAGUGAAAUUGCAGUUAGUGGUUCUGUAUGUUGACUUUAAGCUUGAUGAGAGCUACACGCCUAGUAAAAUCUCUAUUCGAGCUGGUGAUGGUUUUCAUAACUUAAAGGAGAUUAAAAGUGUGGAGCUUGUUAAACCAACUGGUUG
Camelina sativa (false flax) is the source of this 169-nucleotide non-coding RNA. Lineage: Eukaryota; Viridiplantae; Streptophyta; Magnoliopsida; Brassicales; Brassicaceae. The record is from RefSeq and is a predicted model, not a curated record.